UACGUAGGUGGCAAGCGUUGUCCGGAAUUACUGGGUGUAAAGGGCGUGUAGGCGGGAAGGCAAGUCAGAUGUGAAAGCCCAUGGCUUAACUGUGGAACUGCAUCUGAAACUGUUUUCUUGAGUACUGGAGAGGAAAGUGGAAUUCCUAGUGUAGCAGUGAAAUGCGUAGAGAUUAGGAGGAACACCAGUGGCGAAGGCGGCUUUCUGGACAGUAACUGACGCUGAGGCGCGAAAGCGUGGGGAGCAAACAGGAUUAGAUACCCGGGUAGU
Molecule: ribosomal RNA, 270 nt
Filed under: uncultured prokaryote
Description: partial 16S ribosomal RNA
Rfam family: Bacterial small subunit ribosomal RNA
Source: RNAcentral